Molecule: long non-coding RNA, 319 nt
Organism: Xenopus tropicalis (tropical clawed frog)
Lineage: Eukaryota; Metazoa; Chordata; Amphibia; Anura; Pipidae
Exons: 2
Source: RefSeq, a predicted model, not a curated record
AUAGAUCCUGCCUUUACAUCUCAAAUUUUUACAAUACAAUCAGAUUGUCAGCAAUCAUUUAACGUCAACCUUUCAGGAUAACCCGAUUCGCUUCUCCGAGGACCUAUUCAAGCAAGUGCAAAACAAAAGAGGACGCUCUACAGAAAGUAUUUAUUUAUUUCAACCUUUGCACAAUGUAUUAGGCAUGCGGUUUAUAUGUAAUGACAUCCAUUUUGAUGCAAUAGCUUCAACAGCACCAAGCAGUGUGGCCAUAAUUACACUGACCAAGUCAGCAGCCUAUUGGUCCAUGUAAGGAUGCAUAAAGAUCACAUCCAUGAUG